UACGUAGGGUGCAAGCGUUAAUCGGAAUUACUGGGCGUAAAGCGUGCGCAGGCGGUUUUGUAAGUCUGUCGUGAAAGCCCCGGGCUUAACCUGGGAAUUGCGAUGGAGACUGCAAGGCUUGAAUCUGGCAGAGGGGGGUAGAAUUCCACGUGUAGCAGUGAAAUGCGUAGAGAUGUGGAGGAACACCGAUGGCGAAGGCAGCCCCCUGGGUCAAGAUUGACGCUCAUGCACGAAAGCGUGGGGAGCGAACAGG
This 253-nucleotide ribosomal RNA is filed under the name uncultured bacterium. RNAcentral's name for it is "partial 16S ribosomal RNA". It matches the Rfam family "Bacterial small subunit ribosomal RNA", at positions 524 to 776 of the family's 1533-position model. The record is from RNAcentral.